Molecule: ribosomal RNA, 480 nt
Filed under: uncultured bacterium
Lineage: Bacteria
Description: bacterial SSU rRNA
Rfam family: Bacterial small subunit ribosomal RNA
Source: RNAcentral
GAACGCUAGCGGCAGGCUUAAUACAUGCAAGUCGUGGGGCAGCAUGAGUAGCAAUACUUGAUGGCGACCGGCAAACGGGUGAGGAACACGUACACAACCUUCCUUCAAGCGGGGAAUAGCCCAGAGAAAUUUGGAUUAAUACCCAUAAUAUAUUUGAUAAGGCAUCUUAUUAAUAUUAAAGCUUCGGCACUUGAUGAUGGGUGUGCGGCUGAUUAGAUAGUUGGCGGGUAACGGCCCACCAAGUCUACGAUCAGUAGCUGAUGUGAGAGCAUGAUCAGCCACACGGGCACUGAGACACGGGCCCGACUCCUACGGGAGGCAGCAGUAAGGAAUAUUGGACAAUGGACGAAAGUCUGAUCCAGCCAUGCCGCGUGAAGGAUUAAGGUCCUCUGGAUUGUAAACUUCUUUUAUAUGGGACGAAAAAAGGGCAUUCUUGUUCACUUGACGGUACCAUAUGAAUAAGCACCGGCUAACUCCGUG